GAAGGAGAAAGAUGAUGCAAGCUGUCUCAUUCACUGCUGACCGAGCUUCUUACUCAGGACACGACAGAACUUGACUGCAAAAGCAAGAAUCUCUUACAGCAGACACAGACUUUGAUGCAUGCUGCACACAUAAGCACACAGAUGAAGCAUUUUGUGUCUACUAUCACAAAAGAUAUAUUUUCAGCAGAAGACAGAAUGUGUGGACUGCCCCUGUUCUAUCCUGCACGAAUUCACAGGUAUCUAGGGGAGCAUUAUGCAUCAAUUAAAGCUGUUGGAUGCUGAUCCUUGGUUUCUGUGACUCCCAAGGCACUCAGAAAACAAUCAACAAAUGAAGGCUGUUACAAGAAGUACUGAUUGAAAAACAGUCCAAGACAAGAAAAUCUGAGAGCCGGCCACAUCAAUUUGGGGUCUGCAGGACCCAGAUACAGAGCAGGAUUGCUGAAACACAUGUAGGCUUAGAAACCAAAUGUGACUGGUAACAUUGCUUGAGAAAGAAAACCAUCUCUAGGCUGGACACAUUCUGCAGAAUAGAAGCAAAACCACAUGGCAAAAAUUUGGAACAUGCAGUGAUUUUCUCCCA
Long non-coding RNA from Corvus hawaiiensis (hawaiian crow), 580 nucleotides. RefSeq lists it as uncharacterized. The record is from RefSeq and is a predicted model, not a curated record. The transcript is spliced from 3 exons. NCBI's taxonomy places the organism in Eukaryota, Metazoa, Chordata, Aves, Passeriformes, Corvidae.